GACGAACGCUGGCGGCGUGCUUAACACAUGCAAGUCGAGCGGUAAGGCCCCUUUGGGGUACGACGAGCGGCGAACGGGUGAGUAACACGUGGGUGACCUCGCCCUCCAGCUCUGGGAGUAAGCCUGGGAAACUAGGGUCUAAUACCGGAUAUGACUCCAUGACGCAUGUUGGUGGGGUGGAAAGCCUUGUGCGGCUGGGGAUGGGCCCGCGGCCUAUCAGCUUGUUGGUGGGGUGAUGGCCUACCAAGGCGACGACGGGUAGCCGGCCUGAGAGGGCGACCGGCCACACUGGGACUGAGACACGGCCCAGACUCCUACGGGAGGCAGCAGUGGGGAAUCUUGCGCAAUGGGCGAAAGCCUGACGCAGCGACGCCGCGUGAGGGAUGACGGCCUC
This 394-nucleotide ribosomal RNA is filed under the name uncultured bacterium. RNAcentral's name for it is "bacterial SSU rRNA". It matches the Rfam family "Bacterial small subunit ribosomal RNA", at positions 28 to 418 of the family's 1533-position model. The record is from RNAcentral.